This 554-nucleotide ribosomal RNA is filed under the name Streptococcus gallolyticus. RNAcentral describes it as "bacterial SSU rRNA". It matches the Rfam family "Bacterial small subunit ribosomal RNA", at positions 62 to 598 of the family's 1533-position model. Lineage: Bacteria; Bacillati; Bacillota; Bacilli; Lactobacillales; Streptococcaceae. The record is from RNAcentral.
UAGAACGCUGACUACUUUAGCUUGCUAGAGUAGAAGGAGUUGCGAACGGGUGAGUAACGCGUAGGUAACCUGCCUACUAGCGGGGGAUAACUAUUGGAAACGAUAGCUAAUACCGCAUAACAGUGUUUAACACAUGUUAGAUGCUUGAAAGAUGCAAAUGCAUCACUAGUAGAUGGACCUGCGUUGUAUUAGCUAGUUGGUGGGGUAACGGCCUACCAAGGCGACGAUACAUAGCCGACCUGAGAGGGUGAUCGGCCACACUGGGACUGAGACACGGCCCAGACUCCUACGGGAGGCAGCAGUAGGGAAUCUUCGGCAAUGGGGGCAACCCUGACCGAGCAACGCCGCGUGAGUGAAGAAGGUUUUCGGAUCGUAAAGCUCUGUUGUAAGAGAAGAACGUGUGUGAGAGUGGAAAGUUCACACAGUGACGGUAACUUACCAGAAAGGGACGGCUAACUACGUGCCAGCAGCCGCGGUAAUACGUAGGUCCCGAGCGUUGUCCGGAUUUAUUGGGCGUAAAGCGAGCGCAGGCGGUUUAAUAAGUCUGAAGUUAA